Molecule: non-coding RNA, 46 nt
Organism: Alligator mississippiensis (American alligator)
Lineage: Eukaryota; Metazoa; Chordata; Crocodylia; Alligatoridae
Source: Rfam
UUCAUGGCUUUUCUCAAAGCCACCGAAGCACAACAAUACGUAGAUC